AUUGAACGCUGGCGGCAGGCCUAACACAUGCAAGUCGAGCGGAUGAAGGGAGCUUGCUCCUGGAUUCAGCGGCGGACGGGUGAGUAAUGCCUAGGAAUCUGCCUGGUAGUGGGGGAUAACGUCCGGAAACGGGCGCUAAUACCGCAUACGUCCUGAGAGAGAAAGUGGGGGAUCUUCGGACCUCACGCUAUCAGAUGAGCCUAGGUCGGAUUAGCUAGUUGGUGGGGUAAAGGCCUACCAAGGCGACGAUCCGUAACUGGUCUGAGAGGAUGAUCAGUCACACUGGAACUGAGACACGGUCCAGACUCCUACGGGAGGCAGCAGUGGGGAAUAUUGGACAAUGGGCGAAAGCCUGAUCCAGCCAUGCCGCGUGUGUGAAGAAGGUCUUCGGAUUGUAAAGCACUUUAGGUUGGGAGGAAGGGCAGUAAGUUAAUACCUUGCUGUUUUGACGUUACCAACAGAAUAAGCACCGGCUAACUUCGUG
Molecule: ribosomal RNA, 484 nt
Filed under: uncultured bacterium
Lineage: Bacteria
Description: partial 16S ribosomal RNA
Rfam family: Bacterial small subunit ribosomal RNA
Source: RNAcentral